Molecule: ribosomal RNA, 495 nt
Filed under: uncultured bacterium
Lineage: Bacteria
Description: bacterial SSU rRNA
Rfam family: Bacterial small subunit ribosomal RNA
Source: RNAcentral
AAAUGAAUAGACGGGGGCCCGCACAAGCAGUGGAGUAUGUGGUUUAAUUCGAAGCAACGCGAAGAACCUUACCAGGGCUUGACAUCCUAAGAAUCGGGUAGAGAUACCCGAGUGCCCUUCGGGGAACUUAGAGACAGGUGGUGCAUGGUUGUCGUCAGCUCGUGUCGUGAGAUGUUGGGUUAAGUCCCGCAACGAGCGCAACCCCUAUUGUUAGUUGCCAGCAUUAAGUUGGGCACUCUAACGAGACUGCCGGUGAUAAAUCGGAGGAAGGUGGGGACGACGUCAAAUCAUCAUGCCCCUUAUGUCCUGGGCUACACACGUACUACAAUGGCUGUUAACAGAGGGAAGCUAAGCCGCGAGGCCACGCAAAUCCCCAAAAACAGUCUCAGUUCAGAUUGCAGGCUGCAACUCGCCUGCAUGAAGUCGGAAUUGCUAGUAAUCGCGAAUCAGCAUGUCGCGGUGAAUACGUUCCCGGGCCUUGUACACACCGCCCGU